This 254-nucleotide ribosomal RNA is filed under the name uncultured bacterium. RNAcentral describes it as "partial 16S ribosomal RNA". It matches the Rfam family "Bacterial small subunit ribosomal RNA", at positions 524 to 776 of the family's 1533-position model. The record is from RNAcentral.
UACAGAGGUCUCAAGCGUUUGUUCGGAUUCAUUGGGCGUAAAGGGUGCGUAGGUGGCGCCAUAAGUCAGGUGUGAAAUCUCGGGGCUCAACCCCGAAACUGCACUUGAUACUGUGGUGCUCGAGUACUGGAGAGGAGAUUGGAAUUUACGGUGUAGCAGUGAAAUGCGUAGAUAUCGUAAGGAAGACCAGUGGCGAAGGCGAGUCUCUGGACAGCAACUGACGCUGAGGCACGAAGGCCAGGGGAGCAAACGGG